URCCUUUUGCAUCAUGCUUGAAUGACGAUUAUAUGAAUAAUUAUUCUUUAACCGAAAGUUCUGGAUUUCUUUUAGCAAUUGCUUAGCGCAUUUUCUCAGGUAGAGAUGUUUUAUUAAAUUGUAAAAGUGGGGUGAAAAAUUAAACGUCAGGGCUGAUAACUGUUUAACAGCUUAAUGAAUUUAAAUUAUUUUCAAGGUUAAGAGAUCUUGUAAAGAGAUAUAUUUAUUUUAUAUUACAUGUAUGAUAGGGUUAAAAGUACCCAUUCAUUUUAAAAUUGUUCAAAAUUUAAAAUUUUAUGAAUAUAAUUAAAUUAUAUAUUGAGGCUGUUUAAUACAAUUUUUUGAAAAUUAAGAAUGUUUAAAUUAGUAAUAAAAAAAAAGCAAUUAUUUCUCAAGUAUUGCCCGUCUGUUUAUUAAAAACAUUUCCAUAUGAAAAUUUUUAUGGUAGUACCUGCUCUAUGCAUUUUACAUGUAAAUGGCCGCAGUAUUUUGACUGUGCGAAGGUAGCAUAAUUAAUUGCCUUAUAAUUGAAGGCUUGUUUGAAUGGUUUGACGCGGUGAUUACGAAUAUUUGAUUUUUUGUUGAAAUUAGUUUGGAGUGCACAGAACCCUCCUUUAUUAAUUAGACGGAAAGACCCCAGGAUCUUUUAUUUUUUGUCUGGGGCGGAUUGAAAUAUUUCAUUUCUAUUUUGACCCUUCUUUGGUUUAGUGGUUUAAGUUACCCUGGGGAUAACAGUGUGAUAAUUUAUUAGAGACCAUAUCGAAUAAAUUGUUUGCUACCUCGAUGUUGACUUAGGUAAAUAAGUUAGGCGCAGCCGCUUAAUUUUUUGGUCUGUUCGACCAAGAAUACCUCCAUGAGUUGAGUUAAGACCGGUGUAGCCAGGUCGGUUCUUAUCUAUU
Molecule: ribosomal RNA, 899 nt
Filed under: Ophiotaenia lapata
Lineage: Eukaryota; Metazoa; Platyhelminthes; Cestoda; Proteocephalidea; Proteocephalidae
Description: partial 16S ribosomal RNA
Rfam family: Archaeal large subunit ribosomal RNA (bases 620-899)
Source: RNAcentral